Molecule: long non-coding RNA, 885 nt
Organism: Salvia miltiorrhiza (redroot sage)
Lineage: Eukaryota; Viridiplantae; Streptophyta; Magnoliopsida; Lamiales; Lamiaceae
Exons: 3
Source: RefSeq, a predicted model, not a curated record
GUUAUUAUUUUAGCUUUAUACUUUUAUAACGUAUAAGAAAAACGCGACGAGGAUUAUUGAGCCAUUCAAUAAUUUAUUAUCCAGUUUGAUAACUGACUUAGCAAAGUCAAGUUAUUAAUUUAUAUGCGAUAGAAAUAGUAUUUCUAUUAUUUACUUGAAGUCGUGAUUAAUUUUCGACUUAUAAAACGAAUUAUAAAAUAUGUAAUUCGUAGAGAGUUAUAACGAAGCGUCGUUAUUUAGUAGAACCCAAUAUUAGUUUUACAAAUACUUGUAACUUCAAUACUUUACAAAUCAUUAUUUUUCCACUCCCUAAUGUUUCCUACACUAUAUACGCAUCCACUCCACCAAAUUCCAUCAUACCUACCUCCCCACCACUACUUUACUUUUCCCCCACCACAUUAGUGCACCACCAACUGCACUACCUAUGCUCCCCACCAACUCCAAAACUUCACCCAUUCCUUCCAUUUCGCACCAGCAAUCACAAAGAGAAGGAAGACUUGACUUAACUACUUUGCCAAGAUUUCAAGCUGCUCCAGUCCAGUAGUACCCCAACACUCCGGCAGUGUUUUGCAAGGCGAUUUCAGCCAUCCAAACGGUCCGGGCGACAGAAAGUGAAGCCGAAGAAGAAACGACUCCACGCCAGCUUUAAGAACAAUUGAGGUUGAGCUGUGAUGGGCGAUGAAGUGUUGUUGCUGAGUAGAGCUUUUGUCGAACUUAAAGUAGGCUCAGAAAGGAUACAUGUCUUCAUACAUGUAUCUCAGUUAUGCAUUCCGCUGUAAACACUGAUUAUUUUAGUUACACCUUCCGUUGCAAACUCUGAUAAUGUUUUAGCCAAGCCCUAACGAUGCCUUUUUCCUUUUUAAGGAAUAUUUCACGCGUAUUCAA